Molecule: ribosomal RNA, 718 nt
Filed under: uncultured bacterium
Lineage: Bacteria
Description: bacterial SSU rRNA
Rfam family: Bacterial small subunit ribosomal RNA
Source: RNAcentral
GGAUAACUGAUGGAAACGUCAGCUAAGACCGCAUAGGUGUAGAGAUCGCAUGAACUCUAUAUGAAAAGUGCUACGGGACUGGUAGAUGAUGGACUUAUGGCGCAUUAGCUUGUUGGUAGGGUAACGGCCUACCAAGGCGACGAUGCGUAGCCGACCUGAGAGGGUGACCGGCCACACUGGGACUGAGACACGGCCCAGACUCCUACGGGAGGCAGCAGUAGGGAAUUUUCGGCAAUGGGGGAAACCCUGACCGAGCAACGCCGCGUGAAGGAAGAAGUAACUCGUUAUGUAAACUUCUGUCAUAGAGGAAGAACGGUGGAUAUAGGGAAUGAUAUCCAAGUGACGGUACUCUAUAAGAAAGCCACGGCUAACUACGUGCCAGCAGCCGCGGUAAUACGUAGGUGGCGAGCGUUAUCCGGAAUUAUUGGGCGUAAAGAGGGAGCAGGCGGCACUAAGGGUCUGUGGUGAAAGAUCGAAGCUUAACUUCGGUAAGCCAUGGAAACCGUAGAGCUAGAGUGUGUGAGAGGAUCGUGGAAUUCCAUGUGUAGCGGUGAAAUGCGUAGAUAUAUGGAGGAACACCAGUGGCGAAGGCGACGAUCUGGCGCAUAACUGACGCUCAGUCCCGAAAGCGUGGGGAGCAAAUAGGAUUAGAUACCCUAGUAGUCCACGCCGUAAACGAUGAGUACUAAGUGUUGGGUGUCAAAGCUCAGUGCUGCAG